ACAUACCGAAAGGUAUGCUAAUACGAGAUAAUAUGUUUUUAUCGCAUGGUAGAAGUAUCAAAGCUUUUGCGGUACAGGAUGGACCCGCGUCUGAUUAGCUAGUUGGUGAGGUAACGGCUCACCAAGGCGACGAUCAGUAGCCGACCUGAGAGGGUGAUCGGCCACAUUGGAACUGAGACACGGUCCAAACUCCUACGGGAGGCAGCAGUGGGGAAUAUUGCACAGGGGGCGAAAGCCUGAUGCAGCAACGCCGCG
Molecule: ribosomal RNA, 255 nt
Filed under: uncultured bacterium
Lineage: Bacteria
Description: partial 16S ribosomal RNA
Rfam family: Bacterial small subunit ribosomal RNA
Source: RNAcentral